RNAcentral lists this long non-coding RNA (1239 nucleotides) under Cricetulus griseus (Chinese hamster). Its description in RNAcentral is "lncRNA (ENSCGRG00015031065.1)". The record is from RNAcentral. Lineage: Eukaryota; Metazoa; Chordata; Mammalia; Rodentia; Cricetidae.
CUACAUUUCCCAGAAUCCUCUUUGACUCCUAGUCCUUGCUUGCCAUUGGCCAAACAGUAUUUUAUUCAACAGUCAAUAAGAUAAACAUACAAAGAAGUGCAUUCCCCAUCAAGAGCCCUGCUUAGGAAUGUGAUCAUGUGAGGGUAAUUCUAAGUACUUAUGAGAAAAUUCCAAGGAAACGGGACAAGAGUUUUAAGACCUCAGUUUUUUCAAAACACAGAACUGUGAGCCAGGCAUGGUGCAAGCCUUUAAUCCCAGCACUUGGGAAGCAGAGAGUAUUAAUUGAUGUCCUGGAUGAAGUUGGCUACUGCAUGAGACUUUAUUCUGCCACAUUUAUCGUCUCCAUUCUUCCAUGUCCCACCACCUCUAGAGCAGUGACAAGUGGUAUCUGAAGUGGUAUCUGAAGAGGAAUCUGGUCAAAUACUUGAUAACAGCGUGGGGACCCUCACAGAAGCAUGGUCUUGACCCCUUUGCUCAUCACUCCUCCAUCUCUACAACUGGAUUCAAGGAGUUCAGCUCAGUGCUUAGCUGUGAAUCUCUGCUUCUGCUUCCAUCAGCUACUGGAUGAAGGCUCUAUGAUGACAUUUAAGGUAGACAUCCUUGAUUCUGAAAGACCCCUGCCCCUUAGCCCUUUCUUUCUCAAGUUUGUCUCCUCUUCCUCCUGUUGGCGGCUUCCCCGAUCCCCACCCCCGGUGGCCUUCCCCCGCCACCCGCCGCAUGCCUGGCCCGAGAACAAGCACCAGGUGGGCCGGCCCGAGAACGAGCACCGGGUGGGCCAGCACGAGGGCGAGCACCAGGUGGGUCGGCACGAGAACAAACACCAAGUGAUCCGGCCUGGAGCCCUGCCCCUGAGCCCCCGCCAGAAGAGAAACACUCCGUCCCAAGGUCUCCGCCCCCAAGAUGCUGAUUUCAGAGCUGUGAGCUAUGCAGGGACUGAACAUCUGCAUCUUCAAAUCAUUGCUGCUGAGUUUGAGAAUAAACCUGACAAUGAAAUGUCAUAGUCUCAGAGCUGCUGCUUCCAUCAAAGGGAAAAGAAAUGAAGAUCACUUUAAAGAGAGCUAUGAAGCCAUGGAAACAGCAAAUACCUGGCAUCAGUAUUUUAUAGUUUAUUCUAGAGCUACUGGAUGUGGUAGAAUGCUUAUUUAAUUUUUAAAGAAUUUUUGUACAUAAGGCAAUAUCUUAAGGAAGGACAACAUGAUUAGAAGUUAAUGAAAAAUUAUCAUAAUGAUUUAGGAUCUU